GACGAACGCUGGCGGCGUGCUUAACACAUGCAAGUCGAACGGAAAGGCCCUGCUUUUGUGGGGUGCUCGAGUGGCGAACGGGUGAGUAACACGUGAGUAACCUGCCCUUGACUUUGGGAUAACUUCAGGAAACUGGGGCUAAUACCGGAUAGGAGCUCCUGCUGCACGGUGGGGGGUGGAAAGUUUCGGCGGUAGGGGAUGGACUCGCGGCUUAUCAGCUUGUUGGUGGGGUAGUGGCUUACCAAGGCUUUGACGGGUAGCCGGCCUGAGAGGGUGACCGGCCACAUUGGGACUGAGAUACGGCCCAGACUCCUACGGGAGGCAGCAGUGGGAAAUAUUGCACAAUGAGCGGAAGCCUGAUGCAGCAACGCCGCGUGCGGGAUGACGGCCUUCGGGUUGUAAACCGCUUUCGCCUGUGACGAAGCGUGAGUGACGGUAAUGGGUAAAGAAGCACCGGCUAACUACGUG
Molecule: ribosomal RNA, 468 nt
Filed under: uncultured bacterium
Lineage: Bacteria
Description: partial 16S ribosomal RNA
Rfam family: Bacterial small subunit ribosomal RNA
Source: RNAcentral